UACGUAGGUGGCAAGCGUUGUCCGGAUUUACUGGGCGUAAAGAGCGCGCAGGCGGUCGUUCAAGUCGCGUGUGAAAGCCCCCGGCUCAACUGGGGAGGGUCACGCGAUACUGAUCGACUCGAAGGCAGGAGAGGGUAGUGGAAUUCCCGGUGUAGUGGUGAAAUGCGUAGAUAUCGGGAGGAACACCCGUGGCGAAGGCGGCCUGCUGGGCCGGUCCUGACGCUGAUGCGCGAAGGCGUGGGGAGCGAACGGG
RNAcentral lists this ribosomal RNA (253 nucleotides) under uncultured bacterium. RNAcentral's name for it is "partial 16S ribosomal RNA". It matches the Rfam family "Bacterial small subunit ribosomal RNA", at positions 524 to 776 of the family's 1533-position model. The record is from RNAcentral.